This 27-nucleotide non-coding RNA is filed under the name Bombyx mori (domestic silkworm). Lineage: Eukaryota; Metazoa; Arthropoda; Insecta; Lepidoptera; Bombycidae. The record is from RNAcentral.
GAAGAAUACACUAUAGGACUGUAUGGC